UUUUAGAGUUUUGUAUCAUGGCUCAGAUUGAACGCUGGCGGCAGGCUUAACACAUGCAAGUCGAGCGGGGAAAGGUAGCUUGCUACUUAACCUAGCGGCGGACGGGUGAGUAAUGCUUAGGAAUCUGCCUAUUAGUGGGGGACAACAUCUCGAAAGGGAUGCUAAUACCGCAUACGUCCUACGGGAGAAAGCAGGGGACCUUCGGGCCUUGCGCUAAUAGAUGAGCCUAAGUCGGAUUAGCUAGUUGGUGGGGUAAAGGCCUACCAAGGCGACGAUCUGUAGCGGGUCUGAGAGGAUGAUCCGCCACACUGGGACUGAGACACGGCCCAGACUCCUACGGGAGGCAGCAGUGGGGAAUAUUGGACAAUGGGGGGAACCCUGAUCCAGCCAUGCCGCGUGUGUGAAGAAGGCCUUUUGGUUGUAAAGCACUUUAAGCGAGGAGGAGGCUACCGAGAUUAAUACUCUUGGAUAGUGGACGUUACUCCGCAGAANAGCCCCAUU
This 501-nucleotide ribosomal RNA is filed under the name Acinetobacter lwoffii. RNAcentral's name for it is "bacterial SSU rRNA". It matches the Rfam family "Bacterial small subunit ribosomal RNA", at positions 1 to 497 of the family's 1533-position model. Lineage: Bacteria; Pseudomonadati; Pseudomonadota; Gammaproteobacteria; Moraxellales; Moraxellaceae. The record is from RNAcentral.